GACGAACGCUGGCGGCGUGCCUAACACAUGCAAGUCGAGCGGAGACAUUAAGGAGCUUGCUCUGAGAUGUUUUAGCGGCGGACGGGUGAGUAACGCGUGAGCAACCUUUCUCUCAGUGGGGGAUAACAUCCGGAAACGGGUGCUAAUGCCGCAUAGUUUCUUUUUCCGCCUGGAAGAAGAAGGAAAGAUGGCCUUUGCGCUAUCACUGAGGGAUGGACCCGCGGCGUAUUAGUUAGUUGGUGGGGUAAUGGCCUACCAAGACGAUGAUACGUAGCCGACCUGAGGAGGGUGAUCGGCCACAGUUGGGACUGAGACGACGGACCCAA
Molecule: ribosomal RNA, 326 nt
Filed under: uncultured bacterium
Lineage: Bacteria
Description: bacterial SSU rRNA
Rfam family: Bacterial small subunit ribosomal RNA
Source: RNAcentral